Molecule: long non-coding RNA, 1327 nt
Filed under: Heterocephalus glaber (naked mole-rat)
Lineage: Eukaryota; Metazoa; Chordata; Mammalia; Rodentia; Bathyergidae
Description: lncRNA (ENSHGLG00100033310.1)
Source: RNAcentral
CGACAACAGCAAUAGCAACACAGCCUUUGGAGAGUCAGAGCACCCUUGCGAGGCAGGGACUAUUGUUCUCUCCACUGAUGGGAGAGGAAAUCCAGGCCCAGAGACCUCACUGGAGCGUAGACAACCAGUGCCUGACCAAGCUGGGAUUUGGACACGGCAGAUCUGCUUUCCACAGUCGUGUCCUUGGCCUCUGGGAGACCCUGGGGGAGAUCCAGCCUGCCAUCUCUGUCCCUGAACAGUGACUGUAGACCCUGCCGCUGCCCGCCAGGCCCUCCCCUCCUGUCCCUAACCUACCCUGCGCUUUCUGAAGAGCUGCAACUCCUCACAGCCUGAACUUCCUGGAGCUUUCCCUCCACUGUCUGCUUUCGCUGGGAUUGAGCUCUCCCUGGAGGACACCACCCUCUGCCAGCUUCUGAAAUGAGAACUGUUUGUUUUCUUGGAGCUUGGAAGUGUCCGGGACAUCACAAGAGCCACUGCUCCUCAUCCAUGGUCCGUGACGCCGGGAAGCACCCAGCGUUGCUUAGUCAACGACCACAUCACUGCCAGUGCCUGCUUUCAGCUUCCCUGGGCUCCAGGUCCGUGAGGUCCUUUGCUCUGACUCUCAGCUCAGGCACAGUGGAAGAUUUCACUCUUCUGUCGCAGGAAAAACCAAAGCCCUCAGAGGUGACCCCCACACCUGCUGCCCUGCACCCUUACACCUGUCCCACCCCUCCCUUGUCACUAUAUAUGUUCAAGUAACAAUGGUUAAGUCUGUGUUAAGUAGUUAAGUGAGAUAUACAAUGAGAUAUACUUUGUCAAGGCGAUCCUCCCGCCUCAGCCUCCCUAGGGCUGGGAUUAUAGGUGAGCGCCGCCACACCCAGCUCUAUGCUUAAAAAUGUCUGCAAUUCUUUCUUGUUUCCUUUGCUUCCCAUUACUGCUCACCCCUUUUCAGGCCGGUGUCCCCCUUUACUGUGUCACUCCCCUGCCUUUGCAGUGAUCAUCGGGUUGUUCUAUAGUUUCCUCUUCCUGGAACCUCCACUAGUACCCAGUGUUGAGACCGACUUUCCUACAACGCGCUCUUUCUUGGCUCUGAGGACCUGCCGCGCCCCUGCCUUCCUCCUGUGCCCGGCUGCCCCCGUCCCUGCGGGCUCACUCUGCUUUCUCUGUCCACAGUGGUGUUCGGGGAGGGUGCUCGGUCCUGGGCCUCCUCGUAGGACGCUGCACGCUCCCUCCAAGGGCUCACUCCUGUCCCAGAUCUCCAGCUCCUUCCAGCCCAUUCCUCCCACGUUCACGCCCUUUCUCUGGUCUGGGGGGGGGGGGUGGCCUUCCGGCUGGCGUCCCUACUCCC